Molecule: ribosomal RNA, 495 nt
Filed under: uncultured bacterium
Lineage: Bacteria
Description: partial 16S ribosomal RNA
Rfam family: Bacterial small subunit ribosomal RNA
Source: RNAcentral
GACGAACGCUGGCGGCGUGCCUAAUACAUGCAAGUAGAACGCUGAAGGAGGAGCUUGCUCUUCUGGAUGAGUUGCGAACGGGUGAGUAACGCGUAGGUAACCUGCCUGGUAGCGGGGGAUAACUAUUGGAAACGAUAGCUAAUACCGCAUAACAGUAGAUGUUGCACGACAUUUACUUAAAAGGUGCAAUUGCAUCACUACCAGAUGGACCUGCGUUGUAUUAGCUAGUUGGUGGGGUAACGGCUCACCAAGGCGACGAUACAUAGCCGACCUGAGAGGGUGAUCGGCCACACUGGGACUGAGACACGGCCCAGACUCCUACGGGAGGCAGCAGUAGGGAAACUUCGGCAAUGGACGGAAGUCUGACCGAGCAACGCCGCGUGAGUGAAGAAGGUUUUCGGAUCGUAAAGCUCUGUUGUAAGAGAAGAACGAGUGUGAGAGUGGAAAGUUCACACUGUGACGGUAGCUUACCAGAAAGGGACGGCUAACUACGUG